RNAcentral lists this ribosomal RNA (467 nucleotides) under uncultured bacterium. RNAcentral describes it as "partial 16S ribosomal RNA". It matches the Rfam family "Bacterial small subunit ribosomal RNA", at positions 29 to 507 of the family's 1533-position model. The record is from RNAcentral.
ACGAACGCUGGCGGCGUGCUUCACACAUGCCAGUCGAACGGAAAGGCCCUGCUUUUGUGGGGUGCUCGAGUGGCGAACGGGUGAGUAACACGUGAGUAACCUGCCCUUGACUUUGGGAUAACUUCAGGAAACUGGGGCUAAUACCGGAUAGGAGCUCCUGCUGCAUGGUGGGGGUUGGAAAGUUUCGGCGGUUGGGGAUGGACUCGCGGCUUAUCAGCUUGUUGGUGAGGUAGUGGCUUACCAAGGCUUUGACGGGUAGCCGGCCUGAGAGGGUGACCGGCCACAUUGGGACUGAGAUACGACCCAGACUCCUACGGGAGGCAGCAGUGGGGAAUAUUGCACAAUGGGCGGAAGCCUGAUGCAGCAACGCCGCGUGCGGGAUGACGGCCCUCGGGUUGUAAACCGCUUUCGCCUGUGACGAAGCGUGAGUGACGGUAAUGGGUAAAGAAGCACCGGCUAACUACGUG